This 76-nucleotide transfer RNA is filed under the name Pectobacterium phage Wc4. RNAcentral's name for it is "tRNA-Ile". It matches the Rfam family "tRNA". From Rfam's summary of the family: Transfer RNA (tRNA) molecules are approximately 80 nucleotides in length. Their secondary structure includes four short double-helical elements and three loops (D, anti-codon, and T loops). RNAcentral also lists the same sequence under 1 other name. Lineage: Duplodnaviria; Heunggongvirae; Uroviricota; Caudoviricetes; Andersonviridae. The record is from RNAcentral.
GCUGGGUAAGCACAUAUGGAUGUGCAAGCGGCUGAUAACCGAAAGGCAGCAGGUUCGAGUCCUGCACCCAGUACCA